CGUCGUGCGUCGUGAUGUCGAGUGCUCGUCCCAACAAUACCUACGACCGAACGGUGGUGCGUUUUGCAUUCCUCAUCUUCCCGCUGGUACACGAGCUCUCACAGUCGCUUGCACAUCCACCGGGUCAACUUAGGCGCGACCGCCAGGCACUUGAAAUAUUUUCUGCCUCGGAUUGCUCUACCUCAGCUCUACCAUAAAUUUUAUAGCAGCAGGAACACACUGGGACGUCGCGUCGACUCGCCUUGAAAGAUUCGAGUUCCACGAGGGCUCUUCGCGUAGCAGAGGACCUGCGGAGGACUCGACUGUCGGAUCUCGCGGGAAUUCAACUCGCGCGGCACGUCUUUGGGAUCGAUCGAUCUCGCCCACCGCUCAUGAUGUCACGUUGCAACCGUCGGUUUACCAAUAGAUACCAGAAGAAAUGCUAUAGGAGACCAAGCGAGAGAUUUACAGAGACACGUGCGAUAAUCUUCGUUCACUGGUCAGGACUGGUCAGAAUUUUUCUUUUAAUACGCUAAAGAGAAUUUUGAAAAUGCUUCAAUACGUAUGCGACAUCUGCUGAACUGCUGAAGAUUGAAAGGAUGGGUACAAGAUAAAAGGGAAAAAUUAUAAACAGUGCAGUCAAUGUGGUCACUGGAACUAUACGCGCCGCUAUAACUUAGAGCAAAAGGUAGUAGUUAGCAGCAGCAGCAGCAGUAUUUCCCUGUCACUGGCAGUGACCCAUAUGCUCUGUCCAUAAAGGGUACGUGUAUAAAGCCGCCAUGAGCACUGAACGCGUUGGACACGUGUGUCGGUGCAGAUGCGUUCUCUCGAAUCAUACGGACGUCCGAUGCCCGUGGAUACUAUCGGACGAGAAAGCCAACGCAUCGCAAAUGACGAAAGGCUGAUGGGCUAGAUUAUUGCUACCAGAUUAUACGGUUUCCAACGAGAACUCAUGUUGUCGCACGUGUACGCUACAAUCGACGAUAUCGACCUGUCCACACUCAUGAAUUGCAAUUUAUGAUUAAUUUGUGCGCCGCAAGAUACCGCUUGUCUGAAAAGCAUGUUGUUACUAUACAAAACGUGAUUUGUGAAAAAUAAUAAAUCAAAAAUUUUUGACGCAAAUAAAAAUGUUUAUA
This is a long non-coding RNA of Acromyrmex echinatior (Panamanian leafcutter ant), 1115 nucleotides long. Lineage: Eukaryota; Metazoa; Arthropoda; Insecta; Hymenoptera; Formicidae. The record is from RefSeq and is a predicted model, not a curated record.